AACAAAACUGACGGCGAUCGUUAUGACGAGAUAGGCCGUUUUGGCGUAUCCCUCUGUGCUGAUGAUUACUUGAUGGGUGGUCUCAAAAGCUGAGCUUAAACUCUCGAUUUCCUGCAGGCGCUUUUUAUAAUAGCUUUAGGUUUUUCGGGAUGCGGAAUCCUUUUUAUAGUUCUGCUGCAGACGUGUUAGACUUUGAAGGUGCUUCUCUUCAAGUGUAACAAAACCUUCUAAGGCCGGAUCAUCAGCUUCGUGGUCAGACAUAUUAUGAGAAUUUGUUAUAAAUUUGUUUGGAGUUUGGCCUUGGUUGGACAUUCUAACAGCACGCGAGUGUGUGUAGAGAAGAGCUGUUAGACAGCCGGUUGUGUUGGUAUUGAUGACUGUGCUCUGUCGGUGUGAGAGCACGUGUUGGGGCAUAAACGGAGACGAUCGCAAUUUGUGUUAGAUAGAGUGAUGAGUGUUAUGCUUUAUAACCAACAAAAACUGCUCUAUACGGCUGUCAUAGUAUGUGGGGCUCUUGGGAGUAGAUAAACGACUGAAAUUAAAAUAUUACAGUUAAAGCUGUAAUUCAUUAGCUUAUAAUGUGUACACUUUACUAUUGUUUAUUAAUUAACUUUAAAAAAAAAUGGGACGCAAUAAGCAGAAAGUAAAAGGGUGGCGAUAUUGUUCCAGUCACUGAAGCUAGUGUACUCUCCUUCAUUCAAACAGCGUUCUUAUAAAAACACACUCCCAUCAUUAAAAUAACUUGAAAUAUAUCUCUCUCAAAAGAGAGAGUGGACUUACUCAACGGGCUUACUAAAAUGUGAACAUCAGUCUGAUUUUUUUUUAAUCCAUUUGCCAUAUAAUAGAUGGCAAUUUGGGAAGGUAGGUAGUGGUCGAUCUUCGCUUAACAAAAACAUGCUGCCAACGUUAUAUUAGCGAGGAACAUAAAAAUUGCAAUAUAGUUUUGGGCAGCCGCAUUCGCAUCCUUUUUUUGAACUGGAAUAAUAAAAGAGCCUUUCCAGAUCAAAAGAAAAUCUAAAGUACACAAAUUAAAAAAUUUAAAAAUCGGUUUACAAAUGGUUGACGCACAAAACAUAAGCACACACCCAGGGAGUCCAUCUGGACUGAGAGAAUAAGUUGGUGUUUUGGUUGCUAAAUCUCUUAAAAGCGAACUCGGUAACUACAAGGGUAAAAUACAAUAUGCCCUAUUUAAGGGAUUAGAGUAAUUAGAAUUAGACCGAGCAGCCGAACUAUAAGUAGUUUGAAAAAACUCAGCAAUUUCAGAAUGCCUCCAUUGAGUUUAAAUGGAUGAUGAAGGCAAUGCCGAUGACUUACGCUUAGCAUUAACAAAGUUGUAAAACUUUUUCGGAUCAUUUAAAAAUUCAAAUUUACAUCGAUUUAGAUACAUAGAAUAACAAUGACUGUUGAGAAAUUUAAUACACAUAAAAAUCAGUUGGCUCACCCGAUUUCUUUUCACUUUUUAUUAGUCUUUGAUGUAAGGUUUAUAAGACUUUCAAAGGCAAUAGUAAGCCAUGGAGGCCUGUUUAGCUUUAAAAGGAAGCCUAUCAGGAACGAAUUGAUUAAAAAAGUAUUUAACACUAAAAUAAUUCAGUGGCACUUUCAAUAUCCAUACAAUAUCAAUUGUAGAAAUCUGUCCUUAUAUAUUGAGAAAUCAUAUCGUUUUAGUCACAUUGACGGAAACAGCUCAUUUUAGUAGGAGAAACUAAAGGAAAUAGGGUAUCAAAGCAGGAGAGGCAAAUUGUCAAUUCCAUUGUUGGAUAAAUUCGGUCUUACUGGCAAUAGAAGCUUGAGACGGGUAUGAAAUAAAGACAAUUUCUUAUAAAGCUUUCUUGCUGCAUAGCGACAAAUGAGUCAGUAGGAGGAGACCAAGAAAAAUUAUACAGAUUAAUAUCACCCAAAACAAUCAAAAGGUCUCUGUUAAACUGAAGAGAUAGAGCAGAUUUUAUUGCAGACAGAUGGGGCUCAAAAAUUAUUAAAUCAGAGUCAGGUGGAAUAAAAGAACAUGUAACAAAAACAGAUAAAGAUUGCAAACAAACUUUCACACUAAGAAAUUCUAUUUUAUUUGGUAUAUGAAUGAGAAUUCUUUCAGAUGUUAGGCUAGAGGUAACGGCAAUUAGCACACCGCCUCCCCUACGUGACUGGGGAUCGGUCCCAUAAGUAUUAAAGUUAUAAGACAGAACUUCAGAAUCGGAUAUCUCUGGUUUCAGCCAAGGAGGAGUCAGCAUAAAGUUUGGGUAGCUUCAUAUUUAAUCCCCUAACAUUUUGAUACGCCAAAAAGAAACUUUUUAGUUUAUUGGCACAGUGGAGGGCCUUUAUUUAUUCUCAGUUUAUUUGAAACAAAUUCUUUAAUUACUAAAUCAUCAUUAAGCCAAAAGCUUUCCGCCUGAUGAGCAAAUAUUUUAAAAGACGAUUUGCUACGAGCGUAUGAAAAUCAAAAUUGUUCAACUGCUAUCUUCGGAUGGGAAUUUUUAACGUAUAAAUUCCAAAACCUCAGAUGUGGUAUCUGGGGUGAAUCUAGAAACAAAUAAUUGCUUCAUUUGUGGAACAACUGAAAGUUUCUUUCGCUCCCCAGCAGCAGUCUGAACCUCACUAGGAUGAUAUCCAGGAACUGUGCCUACUGUACCUAUAGGUAUGGUCGGUACCGAUUUCUUUGACUUAAUCAGUACAGAAGCUAUUAUUCCUGAAACAUGGACUACCGUAGUCGUAUUAACGGUGAUUUGCUACGAGCGUAUGAAAAUCAAAAUUGUUCAACUGCUAUCUUCGGAUGGGAAUUUUUGACGAAUAAAUUCCAAAACCUCAGAUGUGGUAUAUGGGGUGAAUCUAGAAACAAAUAAUUGCUUCAUUUGUGGAACAACUGAAAGUUUCUUUCGCUCCCCAGCAGCAGUCUGAACCUCACUAGGAUGAUAUCCAGGAACUGUGCCUACUGUACCUAUAGGUAUGGUCGGUACCGAUUUCUUUGACUUAACCAGUACAGAAGCUAUUAUUCCUGAAACAUGGACUACCGUAGUCGUAUUAACGGUGGUUAAUCUGGCUUCUUUGGGUUAAUGCGACUAGGUUAAUACUUUUGUAUUAUUUAACUGGGUACAUACGAUAUUGAACCCCUCAAAAGCACCCCUUAACUACCGAGAUAAUGUUUCCAGGCCGAGUACUUUCGGUAAUUUUGCAGUCAAAUAAUGGGCGAGCCAGUUAUCCCCGUUUUGCAAAGACGCGUUGAUGGACUUAUGGAUGGAUGCACUUAUCAUGGAUCAAAUAUCAUCUCCUUACUUGGCUUGGCAAUUAGUAAAACAUGUUCAUGUGAUUGGAGAAGACCACGCAUGGAUUGUUAUAACGCUGAACUAGUGUGUCUCCAUGCCACCGUAUCAUUAGCGGCCGACAAAGGAAUUUGACGAAUGUCGCAAUCUCGACCAGCUGAGAUUCAUUAAGGAAAUGAAACCGUUGAAUAUUGUCCAGCGGGUCAGUUUGAUGAAUUAACCGACACGUGCGUCAGCAAACGUAGACACAGUGGUUGGUAAUGAGGCUGCGGUCACCGGGAACAUUAUUAUUUAGUCUUCAUCUACAGGAUAGUAGGUUCCCAUGUACAGAUCAUCAAAACUGACGGCGAUCUUUAUGACGAGAUAGGCCGUUUUGGCGUAUCCCACUGUGCAGAUGAUUACUUGAUGGGUGGUCUCAAAAGCUGAGCUUAAACUCUCGAUUUCCUGCAGGCGCUUUUUAUAAUAGCUUUAGGUUUUUCGGGAUGCGGAAUCCUUUUUAUAGUUCUGCUGCAGACGUGUUAGACUUUGAAGGCGCUUCUCUUCAAGUGUAACAAAGCCUUCUAAGGCCGGAUCAUCAGCUUCGUGGUCAGACAUAUUAUGAGAAUUUGUUAUAAAUUUGUUUGGAGUUUGGCCUUGGUUGGACAUUCUAACAGCACGCGAGUGUGUGUAGAGAAGAGCUGUUAGACAGCCGGUUGUGUUGGUAUUGAUGACUGUGCUCUGUCGGUGUGAGAGCACGUGUUGGGGCAUAAACGGAGACGAUCGCAAUUUGUGUUAGAUAGAGUGAUGAGUGUUAUGCUUUAUAACCAACAAAAACUGCUCUAUACGGCUGUCAUAGUAUGUGCGGCUCUUGGGAGUAGAUAAACGACUGAAAUUAAAAUAUUACAGUUAAAGCUGUAAUUCAUUAGCUUAUGAUGUGUACACUUUACUAUUGUUUAUUAAUUAACUUUAAAAAAAAAUGGGACGCAAUAAGCAGAAAGUAAAAGGGUGGCGAUAUUGUUCCAGUCACUGAAGCUAGUGUACUCUCCUUCAUUCAAACAGCGUUCUUAUAAAAACACACUCCCAUCAUUAAAAUAACUUGAAAUAUAUCUCUCUCAAAAGAGAGAGUGGACUUACUCAACGGACUUACUAAAAUGUGAACAUCAGUCUGAUUUUUUUUUUAAUCCAUAUAAAUAAUAAUAAAAGAGCCUUUCCAGAUCGAAAGAAAAUCUAAAGUACACAAAUUAAAAAAUUUAAAAAUCGGUUUACGAAUGGUUGACGCACAAAACAUAAGCACACACCCAGGGAGUCCAUCUGGACUGGGAGAAUAAGUUGGUGUUUUUGUUGCUUAAUCUCUUAAAAGCGAACUCGGUAACUACAAGGGUAAAAUACAAUAUGCCCUAUUUAAGGGAUUAGAGUAAUUAGAAUUUGACCGAGCAGCCGAACUAUAAGUAGUUUGAAAAAACUCAGCAAUUUCAGAAUGCCUCCAUUGAGUUUAAAUGGAUGAUGAAGGCAAUGCCGAUGACUUACGCUUAGCAUUAACAAAGUUGUAAAACUUUUUCGGAUCAUUUAAAAAUUCAAAUUUAUAUCGAUUUAGAUACAUAGACGGUUGAGAAAUUUAAUACACAUAAAAAUCAGUUGUCUCACCCGAUUUUUUUCACUUUUUUAAGUCUUUGAUGUAAGGUUUGUAAGACUUUCAAAGGCAAUAGUAAGCCAUGGAGGCCUGUUUAGCUUUAAAAGGAAGCCUAUCAGGAACGAAUUGAUUAAAAAAGUAUUUAACACUAUAAAAUAAUUCAGUGGCACUUUCAAUAUCCAUACAAUAUCAAUUGUAGAAAUCUGUCCUUAUAUAUUGAGAAAUCAUAUCGUUUUAGUCACAUUGACGGAAACAGCUCAUUUUAGUAGGAGAAACUAAAGGAAAUAGGGUAUCAAAGCAGGGGAGGCAAAUUGCCAAUUCCAUUGUUGGAUAAAUUCGGUCUUACUGGCAAUAAAAGCUUGAGACGGGUAUGAAAUAAAGACAAUUUCUUAUAAAGCUUUCUUGCUGCAAAGCGACAAAUGAGUCAGUAGGAGGAGACCAAGAAAAAUUAUAUAGAUUAAUAUCACCCAAAACAACAAAAACAGAUAAAGAUUGCAAAGAAACUUUCACACUAAGAAAAUCAAUUUUAUUUGGUAUAUGAAUGAGAAUUCUUUCAGAUGUUAGGCUAGAGGUAACGGCAAUUAGCACACCGCCUUUUUAGUUUUUUGGCACAGUGGAGGGCCUGUUAUUUGUUCUCGGUUUAUUUGGAACAAAUUCUUUAAUUACUAAACCAUCAUUAAACCAAAAGCUUUCAGAAAGUGAAACAUAAUAAACAUAAGACGGAGCAAAUAUUUUAAAAGAAGAUAUCCUACGAGCAUAUGAAAAUCGAAAUUGUUCAACUGAAAUAUCUUCGAAUCUGUGGUGAAUCUAGAAACAAAUAAUUGCUUCCUUUGUGGAACAACCGAAAGUUUCUUUCGCUCCCCAGCAGCAGUCUGAACCUUACUAGGAUGAUAUCCAGGAACUGUUCCUACUGUACCUAUAGGUAUGGUCGGUACCGAUUUCUUUGACUUAACCAGUACAGAAGCUAUUAUUCCUGAAACAUGGACUACCGUAGUCGUAUUAAUCUGGCUUCUUUGGGUUAAUGCGACUAGGUUAAUACUUUUGUAUUAUUUAACUGGGUACAUACGAUAUUGAACCCCUCAAAAGCACCCCUUAACUGCCGAGAUAAUGUUUCCAGGCCGAGUGCUUUCGGUAAUUUUGCAGUCAAAUAAUGGGCGAGCCAGUUAUCCCCGUUUUGCAAAGACGCGUUGAUGGACUUAUGGAUGGAUGCACUUAUCAUGGAUCAAAUAUCAUCUCCUUACUUAGGCUUGGCAAUUAGUAAAACAUGUUCAUGUGAUUGGAGAAGACCACGCAUGGAUUGUUAUAACGCUGAACUAGUGUGUCUCCAUGCCACCGUAUAAUUAGCGGCCGACAAAGGAAUUUGACGAAUGUCGCAAUCUCGACCAGCUGAGAUUCAUUAAGGAAAUGAAACCGUUGAAUAUUGUCCAGCGGGUCAGUUUGAUGAAUUAACCGACACGUGCGUCAGCAACCGUCGACACGGUGGUUGGUAAUGAGGCUGCGGUCACCAGGAACAUUAUUAUUUAGUCUUCAUCUACAGGAUAGUAGGUUCCCAUGUACAGAUAAUCAAAACUGACGGCGAUCUUUAUGACGAGAUAGGCCGUUUUGGCGUAUCCCUCUGUGCAGAUGAUUACUUGAUGGGUGGUCUCAAAAGCUGAGCUUAAACUCUCGAUUUCCUGCAGGCGCUUUUUAUAAUAGCUUUAGGUUUUUCGGGAUGCGGAAUCCUUUUUAUAGUUCUGCUGCAGACGUGUUAGACUUUGAAGGUGCUUCUCUUCAAGUGUAACAAAACCUUCUAAGGCCGGAUCAUCAGCUUCGUGGUCAGACAUAUUAUGAGAAUUUGUUAUAAAUUUGUUUGGAGUUUGGCUGGUUGGACAUUCUAACAGCACGCGAGUGUGUGUAGAGAAGAGCUGUUAGACAGCCGGUUGUGUUGGUAUUGAUGACUGUGCUCUGUCGGUGUGAGAGCACGUGUUGGGGCAUAAACGGAGACGAUCGCAAUUUGUGUUAGAUAGAGUGAUGAGUGUUAUGCUUUAUAACCAACAAAAACUGCUCUAUACGGCUGUCAUAGUAUGUGGGGCUCUUGGGAGUAGAUAAACGACUGAAAUUAAAAUAUUACAGUUAAAGCUGUAAUUCAUUAGCUUAUGAUGUGUACACUUUACUAUUGUUUAUUAAUUAACUUUAAAAAAAAUGGGACGAAAUAAGCAGAAAGUAAAAGGGUGGCGAUAUUGUUCCAGUCACUGAAGCUAGUGUACUCUCCUUCAUUCAAACAGCGUUCUUAUAAAAACACACUCCCAUCAUUAAAAUAACUUGAAAUAUAUCUCUCUCAAAAGAGAGAGUGGACUUACUCAACGGGCUUACUAAAAUGUGAACAUCAGUCUGAUUUUUUUUUUAAUCCAUUUGCCAUAUAAUAGAUGGCAAUUUGGGAAGGUAGGUAGUGGUCGAUCUUCGCUUAACAAAAACAACUGCCAACGUUAUAUUAGCGAGGAACAUAACAAUUGCAAUAUAGUUUUGGGCAUCCGCCUUCGCAUCCUUUUUUUGAACUGGAAUAAUAAAAGAGCCUUUCCAGAUCGAAAGAAAAUCUAAAGUACACAAAUUAAAAAAUUUAAAAAUCGGUUUACAAAUGGUUGACGCACAAAACAUAAGCACACACCCAGGGAGUCCAUCUGGACUGGGAGAAUAAGUUGGUGUUUUUGUUGCUUAAUCUCUUAAAAGCGAACUCGGUAACUACAAGGGUAAAAUACAAUAUGCCCUAUUUAAGGGAUUAGAGUAAUUAGAAUUUGACCGAGCAGCCGAACUAUAAGUAGUUUGAAAAAACUCAGCAAUUUCAGAAUGCCUCCAUUGAGUUUAAAUGGAUGAUGAAGGCAAUGCCGAUGACUUACGCUUAGCAUUAACAAAGUUGUAAAACUUUUUCGGAUCAUUUAAAAAUUCAAAUUUAUAUCGAUUUAGAUACAUAGACUGUUGAGAAAUUUAAUACACAUAAAAAUCAGUUGGCUCACCCGAUUUUUUUCACUUUUUUAAGUCUUUGAUGUAAGGUUUGUAAGACUUUCAAAGGCAAUAGUAAGCCAUGGAGGCCUGUUUAGCUUUAAAAGGAAGCCUAUCAGGAACGAAUUGAUUAAAAAAGUAUUUAACACUAUAAAAUAAUUCAGUGGCACUUUCAAUAUCCAUACAAUAUCAAUUGUAGAAAUCUGUCCUUAUAUAUUGAGAAAUCAUAUCGUUUUAGUCACAUUGACGGAAACAGCUCAUUUUAGUAGGAGAAACUAAAGGAAAUAGGGUAUCAAAGCAGGGGAGGCAAAUUGCCAAUUCCAUUGUUGGAUAAAUUCGGUCUUACUGGCAAUAAAAGCUUGAGACGGGUAUGAAAUAAAGACAAUUUCUUAUAAAGCUUUCUUGCUGCAAAGCGACAAAUGAGUCAGUAGGAGGAGACCAAGAAAAAUUAUAUAGAUUAAUAUCACCCAAAACAACAAAAACAGAUAAAGAUUGCAAAGAAACUUUCACACUAAGAAAAUCAAUUUUAUUUGGUAUAUGAAUGAGAAUUCUUUCACAUGUUAGGCUAGAGGUAACGGCAAUUAGCACACCGCCUUUUUAGUUUUUUGGCACAGUGGAGGGCCUGUUAUUUGUUCUCGGUUUAUUUGGAACAAAUUCUUUAAUUACUAAACCAUCAUUAAACCAAAAGCUUUCAGAAAGUGAAACAUAAUAAACAUCAGACGGAGCAAAUAUUUUAAAAGAAGAUAUCCUACGAGCAUAUGAAAAUCGAAAUUGUUCAACUGAAAUAUCUUCGAAUCUGUGGUGAAUCUAGAAACAAAUAAUUGCUUCCUUUGUGGAACAACCGAAAGUUUCUUUCGCUCCCCAGCAGCAGUCUGAACCUCACUAGGAUGAUAUCCAGGAACUGUUCCUACUGUACCUAUAGGUAUGGUCGGUACCGAUUUCUUUGACUUAACCAGUACAGAAGCUAUUAUUCCUGAAACAUGGACUACCGUAGUCGUAUUAAUCUGGCUUCUUUGGGUUAAUGCGACUAGGUUAAUACUUUUGUAUUAUUUAACUGGGUACAUACGAUAUUGAACCCCUCAAAAGCACCCCUUAACUGCCGAGAUAAUGUUUCCAGGCCGAGUGCUUUCGGUAAUUUUGCAGUCAAAUAAUGGGCGAGCCAGUUAUCCCCGUUUUGCAAAGACGCGUUGAUGGACUUAUGGAUGGAUGCACUUAUCAUGGAUCAAAUAUCAUCUCCUUACUUAGGCUUGGCAAUUAGUAAAACAUGUUCAUGUGAUUGGAGAAGACCACGCAUGGAUUGUUAUAACGCUGAACUAGUGUGUCUCCAUGCCACCGUAUAAUUAGCGGCCGACAAAGGAAUUUGACGAAUGUCGCAAUCUCGACCAGCUGAGAUUCAUUAAGGAAAUGAAACCGUUGAAUAUUGUCCAGCGGGUCAGUUUGAUGAAUUAACCGACACGUGCGUCAGCAACUGUCGACACGGUGGUUGGUAAUGAGGCUGCGGUUACCAGGAACAUUAUUAUUUAGUCUUUACAGGAUAGUAGGUUCCCAUGUACAGAUAAUCAAAACUGACGGCGAUCUUUAUGACGAGAUAGGCCGUUUUGGCGUAUCCCUCUGUGCAGAUGAUUACUUGAUGGGUGGUCUCAAAAGCUGAGCUUAAACUCUCGAUUUCCUGCAGGCGCUUUUUAUAAUAGCUUUAGGUUUUUCGGGAUGCGGAAUCCUUUUUAUAGUUCUGCUGCAGACGUGUUAGACUUUGAAGGCGCUUCUCUUCAAGUGUAACAAAACCUUCUAAGGCCGGAUCAUCAGCUUCGUGGUCAGACAUAUUAUGAGAAUUUGUUAUAAAUUUGUUUGGAGUUUGGCCUUGGUUGGACAUUCUAACAGCACGCGAGUGUGUGUAGAGAAGAGCUGUUAGACAGCCGGUUGUGUUGGUAUUGAUGACUGUGCUCUGUCGGUGUGAGAGCACGUGUUGGGGCAUAAACGGAGACGAUCGCAAUUUGUGUUAGAUAGAGUGAUGAGUGUUAUGCUUUAUAACCAACAAAAACUGCUCUAUACGGCUGUCAUAGUAUGUGGGGCUCUUGGGAGUAGAUAAACGACUGAAAUUAAAAUAUUACAGUUAAAGCUGUAAUUCAUUAGCUUAUGAUGUGUACACUUUACUAUUGUUUAUUAAUUAACUUUAAAAAAAAAUGGGACGCAAUAAGCAGAAAGUAAAAGGGUGGCGAUAUUGUUCCAGUCACUGAAGCUAGUGUACUCUCCUUCAUUCAAACAGCGUUCUUAUAAAAACACACUCCCAUCAUUAAAAUAACUUGAAAUAUAUCUCUCUCAAAAGAGAGAGUGGACUUACUCAACGGACUUACUAAAAUGUGAACAUCAGUCUGAUUUUUUUUGUAAUCCAUAUAAAUAAUAAUAAAAGAGCCUUUCCAGAUCGAAAGAAAAUCUAAAGUACACAAAUUAAAAAAUUUAAAAAUCGGUUUACGAAUGGUUGACGCACAAAACAUAAGCACACACCCAGGGAGUCCAUCUGGACUGGGAGAAUAAGUUGGUGUUUUUGUUGCUUAAUCUCUUAAAAGCGAACUCGGUAACUACAAGGGUAAAAUACAAUAUGCCCUAUUUAAGGGAUUAGAGUAAUUAGAAUUUGACCGAGCAGCCGAACUAUAAGUAGUUUGAAAAAACUCAGCAAUUUCAGAAUGCCUCCAUUGAGUUUAAAUGGAUGAUGAAGGCAAUGCCGAUGACUUACGCUUAGCAUUAACAAAGUUGUAAAACUUUUUCGGAUCAUUUAAAAAUUCAAAUUUAUAUCGAUUUAGAUACAUAGACUGUUGAGAAAUUUAAUACACAUAAAAAUCAGUUGGCUCACCCGAUUUUUUUCACUUUUUUAAGUCUUUGAUGUAAGGUUUGUAAGACUUUCAAAGGCAAUAGUAAGCCAUGGAGGCCUGUUUAGCUUUAAAAGGAAGCCUAUCAGGAACGAAUUGAUUAAAAAAGUAUUUAACACUAUAAAAUAAUUCAGUGGCACUUUCAAUAUCCAUACAAUAUCAAUUGUAGAAAUCUGUCCUUAUAUAUUGAGAAAUCAUAUCGUUUUAGUCACAUUGACGGAAACAGCUUAUUUUAGUAGGAGAAACUAAAGGAAAUAGGGUAUCAAAGCAGGGGAGGCAAAUUGCCAAUUCCAUUGUUGGAUAAAUUCGGUCUUACUGGCAAUAAAAGCUUGAGACGGGUAUGAAAUAAAGACAAUUUCUUAUAAAGCUUUCUUGCUGCAAAGCGACAAAUGAGUCAGUAGGAGGAGACCAAGAAAAAUUAUAUAGAUUAAUAUCACCCAAAACAACAAAAACAGAUAAAGAUUGCAAAGAAACUUUCACACUAAGAAAAUCAAUUUUAUUUGGUAUAUGAAUGAGAAUUCUUUCACAUGUUAGGCUAGAGGUAACGGCAAUUAGCACACCGCCUUUUUAGUUUUUUGGCACAGUGGAGGGCCUGUUAUUUGUUCUCGGUUUAUUUGGAACAAAUUCUUUAAUUACUAAACCAUCAUUAAACCAAAAGCUUUCAGAAAGUGAAACAUAAUAAACAUCAGACGGAGCAAAUAUUUUAAAAGAAGAUAUCCUACGAGCAUAUGAAAAUCGAAAUUGUUCAACUGAAAUAUCUUCGAAUCUGUGGUGAAUCUAGAAACAAAUAAUUGCUUCCUUUGUGGAACAACCGAAAGUUUCUUUCGCUCCCCAGCAGCAGUCUGAACCUCACUAGGAUGAUAUCCAGGAACUGUUCCUACUGUACCUAUAGGUAUGGUCGGUACCGAUUUCUUUGACUUAACCAGUACAGAAGCUAUUAUUCCUGAAACAUGGACUACCGUAGUCGUAUUAAUCUGGCUUCUUUGGGUUAAUGCGACUAGGUUAAUACUUUUGUAUUAUUUAACUGGGUACAUACGAUAUUGAACCCCUCAAAAGCACCCCUUAACUGCCGAGAUAAUGUUUCCAGGCCGAGUGCUUUCGGUAAUUUUGCAGUCAAAUAAUGGGCGAGCCAGUUAUCCCCGUUUUGCAAAGACGCGUUGAUGGACUUAUGGAUGGAUGCACUUAUCAUGGAUCAAAUAUCAUCUCCUUACUUAGGCUUGGCAAUUAGUAAAACAUGUUCAUGUGAUUGGAGAAGACCACGCAUGGAUUGUUAUAACGCUGAACUAGUGUGUCUCCAUGCCACCGUAUAAUUAGCGGCCGACAAAGGAAUUUGACGAAUGUCGCAAUCUCGACCAGCUGAGAUUCAUUAAGGAAAUGAAACCGUUGAAUAUUGUCCAGCGGGUCAGUUUGAUGAAUUAACCGACACGUGCGUCAGCAACUGUCGACACGGUGGUUGGUAAUGAGGCUGCGGUUACCAGGAACAUUAUUAUUUAGUCUUUACAGGAUAGUAGGUUCCCAUGUACAGAUAAUCAAAACUGACGGCGAUCUUUAUGACGAGAUAGGCCGUUUUGGCGUAUCCCUCUGUGCAGAUGAUUACUUGAUGGGUGGUCUCAAAAGCUGAGCUUAAACUCUCGAUUUCCUGCAGGCGCUUUUUAUAAUAGCUUUAGGUUUUUCGGGAUGCGGAAUCCUUUUUAUAGUUCUGCUGCAGACGUGUUAGACUUUGAAGGUGCUUCUCUUCAAGUGUAACAAAACCUUCUAAGGCCGGAUCAUCAGCUUCGUGGUCAGACAUAUUAUGAGAAUUUGUUAUAAAUUUGUUUGGAGUUUGGCUGGUUGGACAUUCUAACAGCACGCGAGUGUGUGUAGAGAAGAGCUGUUAGACAGCCGGUUGUGUUGGUAUUGAUGACUGUGCUCUGUCGGUGUGAGAGCACGUGUUGGGGCAUAAACGGAGACGAUCGCAAUUUGUGUUAGAUAGAGUGAUGAGUGUUAUGCUUUAUAACCAACAAAAACUGCUCUAUACGGCUGUCAUAGUA
Molecule: long non-coding RNA, 12730 nt
Organism: Drosophila biarmipes
Lineage: Eukaryota; Metazoa; Arthropoda; Insecta; Diptera; Drosophilidae
Exons: 6
Source: RefSeq, a predicted model, not a curated record